AUACGGAGGGUGCAAGCGUUAAUCGGAAUUACUGGGCGUAAAGCGCGCGUAGGCGGUUUGAUAAGUCGGAUGUGAAAUCCCCGGGCUCAACCUGGGAAUUGCAUUCGAUACUGUCAGGCUAGAGUGUGGUAGAGGGAAGUGGAAUUUCCGGUGUAGCGGUGAAAUGCGUAGAUAUCGGAAGGAACACCAGUGGCGAAGGCGGCUUCCUGGACCAACACUGACGCUGGGGUGCGAAAGCGUGGGGAGCAAACAGGAUUAGAUACCCUAGUAGUCC
Molecule: ribosomal RNA, 274 nt
Filed under: uncultured bacterium
Lineage: Bacteria
Description: partial 16S ribosomal RNA
Rfam family: Bacterial small subunit ribosomal RNA
Source: RNAcentral